UUCCCGCAUUUCCUACCUCAUAUCCCACCCCAGAGCCCCCAAACCCCAAACCACCACCCCCAUCCCGCUCCUGUGUUUUGUAGGGCCUCACACCAGGCCGAGCACUGUCCCCCGCCCCACUCUGAGGUGCCAAAUCCCCUUGGUUUUCCCCCAAACCCCCAUCACAAGACCCCAAAACUGGGGGAACAACAUCCCCCCAUGUCCCCUUAGGGUCACCCCAAGACACGGAGCAGUUCCUCAGUGAUUCCAUCUUAAUUUAAGGGGAAAAAAAUUAAAUACAAAAUUACAAAGACGGGGCUUGGGGGGGAAUUCCCACCAGGAUUUUCCAUGGGAACUCCGCAGAAAAUCCACCCUAAAAACGGGCAGGGGUCACAGCGAGGACCGGGGCACGGGGAGCCCCCGACCCCAAAAUGGCUCCGAGGAUCCACCCUGGCCAGGAGAGGGGUGGAGGACAGCGGGGACCAGGACGUGUCCCCCGUCCUUGGGACUGUGUCCCUGUGUCCCCUGUCCUUGGGAUUAUGUCCCUUGUCCUUGGGAUCGUGUCUCUUGUCUUUAGGAUCGUGUCCCUUGUCUUAAGGAUGGUGUUCCCUGUCCUUGGGAUCGUGUCCCUUGUCCUUGGGAUCGUGUCCCUUGUCUUUAGGAUGGUGUUCCCUGUCCUUGGGAUCAUGUCCCUUGUCCUUGGGAUCAUGUCUCUUGUCUUUAGGAUUGUGUCCCUUGUCCUCGGGAGGUGUCCCCUGUCCCUGGGGUCGUGUUCCCUCUCCUCAGGAUCCAGGAUCGUGUCCCCUCUCCUCGGGGUCCCAUGGCCUCAGGAUCGUGUCCCUUGUCCUUGGGAUUGUGUCCCUGUGUCCCCUGUCCUUGGGAUCGUGUCCCCUGUCCUUGGGAUCUUGUCCCCUGUGUCCCCUGUCCUUGGGAUUGUGUCCCUUGUCUUUAGGAUGGUGUCCCCUGUCCCUGGGGUCGUGUCCCUUGUCCUCGGGAGGUGUCCCCUGUCCCUGGGGUUGUGUCCCCUCUCCUCAGGAUCCAGGAUGGUGUCCCCUGUCCUCGGGGUCCUGUCCCCUGUCCUCGGGGUGCUCACGCGGACGCCGCCCCGCACGCGGUGCCAGGGCUGUGGGCAUGGGGUGGCACAGGGCGGGCACUCAGGAGUGUCACAAAGGCCUCCACCUGCAAGGACAGCCGGGCUGAGCGGUGGCACCGGCGUGGGGCUCGGGUGGCACCGCGGUGGCACCGGGAUGGGGCAGGGAGGGAACUGGGAUGGACUGGGAGGGACUGGGAUGGAACUGGGAUGGACUGGGAGGGACUGGGAUGGCACCAGCACCACGCAAGGCUGGCACCAGCACGGCCCUGGCACGGGUGAGGUUUAACCCCCUCGGUGCCACCGCGCCUGGCUCUGGUGGCACCGGGAAGGCGCCGGGGCCGUGCCCCGACCCGUGCCAGGCGUGGCACCCACCCGUGCCAGGCGUGGCACCCACCUGUGCCAGGCGUGGCACCCACCUGUGCCAGGAGCUGGCCCUGCCGCGCCGCGUCGUGCUCGAAGUCCUGCUCGGCGUCCAGCAGCAGGACGGGCGCGCGCCGCGCCGCCGCCAAGCCGAUCCUGCGGGCAAAGCCUGAGACCAAAAACCCCAAAAUACCCCAAAAAACCCAAAACACCAAAAAAACCCCCAAAAAAACACACAAGAAACCACAGAAAUACCCCAAAAUAUCCCAAAAAAACCCCAAAAAUACCCCGAGAAAACCCACAAGAAAUCCCAAAAAACCCCAAAAAUACCCCAAAAAACCCAAAACCACAAAAAAAAAAAAAAACAAAAACCCCAAGAAACCC
Long non-coding RNA from Chloebia gouldiae (Gouldian finch), 1816 nucleotides. The record is from Ensembl. Lineage: Eukaryota; Metazoa; Chordata; Aves; Passeriformes; Passeridae.